CAGGGAAUAGUUUAUCUAGAAUUUCAGCUUUGGGUGUGAUGGUGGAGUUGAGUCUCUUCCUUGA
This is a non-coding RNA of Vicugna pacos (alpaca), 64 nucleotides long. Lineage: Eukaryota; Metazoa; Chordata; Mammalia; Artiodactyla; Camelidae. The record is from Ensembl.